Molecule: ribosomal RNA, 253 nt
Filed under: uncultured bacterium
Lineage: Bacteria
Description: partial 16S ribosomal RNA
Rfam family: Bacterial small subunit ribosomal RNA
Source: RNAcentral
UACAGAGGUGGCAAGCGUUGUUCGGAAUUACUGGGCGUAAAGGGCGCGUAGGCGGCCAUCUAAGUCAGACGUGAAAUCCCACGGCUCAACCGUGGAACUGCUUGGCAUACUGGCGAUCUUGAGCCACUUAGGGGCAACCGGAACAAACGGUGGAGCGGUGAAAUGCGUAGAUAUCGUUUGGAACGCCAAUGGUGAAAACAGGUUGCUGGGAGUGUGCUGACGCUGAGACACGAAAGCCAGGGGAGCGAACGGG